This 492-nucleotide ribosomal RNA is filed under the name uncultured bacterium. RNAcentral describes it as "partial 16S ribosomal RNA". It matches the Rfam family "Bacterial small subunit ribosomal RNA", at positions 30 to 507 of the family's 1533-position model. The record is from RNAcentral.
AUUGAACGCUGGCGGCAUGCUUUACACAUGCAAGUCGAACGGUAACAGGCCUUCGGGUGCUGACGAGUGGCGAACGGGUGAGUAAUGCAUCGGAACGUACCCAGAGGUGGGGGAUAACGCAGCGAAAGCUGUGCUAAUACCGCAUGUGAUCUGAGGAUGAAAGCGGGGGACCGAGCAGCAAUGUUUGGCCUCGCGCCUUUGGAGCGGCCGAUGUCGGAUUAGCUAGUUGGUGGGGUAAAGGCCUACCAAGGCGACGAUCCGUAGCUGGUCUGAGAGGACGACCAGCCACACUGGGACUGAGACACGGCCCAGACUCCUACGGGAGGCAGCAAUGGGGAAUUUUGGACAAUGGGCGCAAGCCUGAUCCAGCAAUGCCGCGUGCGGGAAGAAGGCCUUCGGGUUGUAAACCGCUUUUGACAGGAACGAAACGGUGUCCGCUAAUACCGGGCGCUAAUGACGGUACCUGCAGAAUAAGCACCGGCUAACUACGUG